AACGAACGCUGGCGGCAUGCCUAACACAUGCAAGUCGAACGAUGCCUUCGGGCAUAGUGGCGCACGGGUGCGUAACGCGUGGGAAUCUGCCUUUCGGUUCGGAAUAACUCAGGGAGACUUGAGCUAAUACCGGAUAACGUCGCAAGACCAAAGAUUUAUCACCGAAAGAUGAGCCCGCGUAGGAUUAGCUAGUUGGUGAGGUAAAGGCUCACCAAGGCGACGAUCCUUAGCUGGUCUGAGAGGAUGAUCAGCCACACUGGGACUGAGACACGGCCCAGACUCCUACGGGAGGCAGCAGUGGGGAAUAUUGGACAAUGGGCGAAAGCCUGAUCCAGCAAUGCCGCGUGAGUGAUGAAGGCCUUAGGGUUGUAAAGCUCUUUUACCCGGGAAGAUAAUGACGGUACCGGGAGAAUAAGCCCCGGCUAACUCCGUG
This 433-nucleotide ribosomal RNA is filed under the name uncultured bacterium. RNAcentral describes it as "partial 16S ribosomal RNA". It matches the Rfam family "Bacterial small subunit ribosomal RNA", at positions 29 to 507 of the family's 1533-position model. The record is from RNAcentral.